GGUGGAGACAACUUUGAUCUCAAAGGAAUUCAUCUCAAACAGUGGAACUUCAGAAUCCCAAGAAAGAUGUGGGAGGGAUUUUCCGAGAAAACCUCCCUACGUUCCGAAGACAGAGACCCGUCAGACAGGGCAAGGAAAAAUCAUGGAGCUGGGAGCGGGAGGCCUGGAAAUGCAAUUAUAACCUUUUGCCUCCCCUGCACCUGAGGCUUGCUACAGGCCAAGUCCAUCUAGCUAUGUGCUUAGACACUCCAGAGUGGAACUCUCACCCACCAGGAAGUUGCCUCGGGAGAUAACAGUCCAUCGACGAUCCAAAGAUGUCCGCGAUGAAACUCUCUCCUACCUGGAGAGUUUUCAGCUGCAUUACAACCUACUCCUGCCCAUGAAGGUGCCAGCAGUCACCAGUUUUACCACCGCCUGGUAGAUAAAGUACCAAGUUAGCACACAGACCGCCCCCAACCUGCUCGCUUUCUCCCUGUGUGCCAUUCAUGUUAGGCCCCCUUUAAAAAGCACUUGCUUUCUGCUCCAAAAGUAAAGCAAUACCCUUAAGGCAGGAAGCUUGAACUUCUUCCCCUAAGCUAGCUUGGGAAUAAAAAGUCACUUUCUUUAUAUUGGA
RNAcentral lists this long non-coding RNA (613 nucleotides) under Pongo abelii (Sumatran orangutan). Its description in RNAcentral is "lincRNA". Lineage: Eukaryota; Metazoa; Chordata; Mammalia; Primates; Hominidae. The record is from RNAcentral.